UACGUAGGGUGCAAGCGUUAAUCGGAAUUACUGGGCGUAAAGCGUGCGCAGGCGGUUGUGUAAGACAGAUGUGAAAUCCCCGGGCUCAACCUGGGAACUGCAUUUGUGACUGCACAGCUGGAGUGCGGCAGAGGGGGAUGGAAUUCCGCGUGUAGCAGUGAAAUGCGUAGAUAUGCGGAGGAACACCGAUGGCGAAAGCGACUUUCUGGUCCUUAACUGACGCUGAGGCGCGAAAGCAUGGGGAGCGAACGGG
RNAcentral lists this ribosomal RNA (253 nucleotides) under uncultured bacterium. Its description in RNAcentral is "partial 16S ribosomal RNA". It matches the Rfam family "Bacterial small subunit ribosomal RNA", at positions 524 to 776 of the family's 1533-position model. The record is from RNAcentral.